CCUACGGGUGGCAGCAGUGAGGAAUAUUGGUCAAUGGACGAGAGUCUGAACCAGCCAAGUCGCGUGAAGGAUGACUGCCCUAUGGGUUGUAAACUUCUUUUAUAAAGGAAUAAAACGAGGCACGUGUGCCUUUUUGCAUGUACUUUAUGAAUAAGGAUCGGCUAACUCCGUGCCAGCAGCCGCGGUAAUACGGAGGAUCCGAGCGUUAUCCGGAUUUAUUGGGUUUAAAGGGGGCGUAGAUGGGUUGUUAAGUCAGUUGUGAAAUUUUGCGGCUCAACCGUAAAAUUGCAAUUGAUACUGGCAGUCUUGAGUACAGUUGAGGUAGGCGGAAUUCGUGGUGUAGCGGUGAAAUGCUUAGAUAUCACGAAGAACCCCGAUUGCGAAGGCAGCUUACUAAACUGUGACUGACAUUGAUGCUCGAAAGUGUGGGUAUCAAACAGGAUUAGAUACCCCUGUAGUC
This 460-nucleotide ribosomal RNA is filed under the name uncultured bacterium. RNAcentral's name for it is "partial 16S ribosomal RNA". It matches the Rfam family "Bacterial small subunit ribosomal RNA", at positions 338 to 795 of the family's 1533-position model. The record is from RNAcentral.